This 344-nucleotide long non-coding RNA is filed under the name Pongo abelii (Sumatran orangutan). RNAcentral describes it as "lincRNA". The record is from RNAcentral. Lineage: Eukaryota; Metazoa; Chordata; Mammalia; Primates; Hominidae.
AGACAAGAUCUUGCUCUGUUGCCCAGGCUGGAGCGCAAUGGUGCCAUAGUAGCUCACUGUAACCUUGAGCGUCUGUGCUCAAUCAAUCCUCCUACCUCAGCCUCCUGAGUAGCUGGGACUACAGAGACAGGGUCUUGUUCUGUUGUCCAAGCUGGUCUUGAAUUCCUGACCUCAAGCAAUCCUCCUGCCUCGGCCUCCCAAAACACUGGGAUUACUACAGGUUGAGCCACCGCGCUGGGCCGUCAUGCCCAGAGAGAGAAGUGAAGUAUCUGAACGCAUCAGCCUGAGAAUGGGUCAUUUACAAAGUAAAUAAAGGCAAUGCCAAACGUCAGCACAACAAGCAA